RNAcentral lists this ribosomal RNA (468 nucleotides) under uncultured bacterium. Its description in RNAcentral is "partial 16S ribosomal RNA". It matches the Rfam family "Bacterial small subunit ribosomal RNA", at positions 28 to 507 of the family's 1533-position model. The record is from RNAcentral.
GACGAACGCUGGCGGCGGGCUUAACACAUGCAAGUCGAACGGAAGGGCCCUGCUUUUGUGGGGUGCUCGAGUGGCAAACGGGUGAGUAACACGUGAGUAACCUGCCCUUGACUUUGGGAUAACUUCAGAAAACUGGGGCUAAUACCGGAUAGGAGCUCCUGCUGCAUGGUGGGGGUUGGAAAGCUUCGGCGGAUGGGGAUGGACUCGCGGCUUAUCAGCUUGUUGGUUGGGGAGUGGCUUACCAAAGGUUUGGCGGGUAGCCGGCCUGAGAGGGUGGCCGGCGACAUUGGGACUGCGAUACGGCCCAGAGUCCUACAGGAGGCAGCAGUGGGGAAUAUUGCCCAAUGGGCGGAAGCCUGAUGCAGAAACGUCGCGUGUGUGAUGACGGCCUUCGGGUUGUAAACCGCUUUCGCCUGUGACGAAGCGUGAGUGACGGUAAUGGGUAAAGAAGCACCGGCUAACUACGUG